CUGUGCCUCCUGAUUGCUGAGUGUUCGCCUGGACCUUCUGACCACCUUCCUUCUGCUAGACCAUCAGCCUACAGACCUGGUACCUGGAUUUUUGCUCAUGGUGAUUC
This is a non-coding RNA of Ictidomys tridecemlineatus (thirteen-lined ground squirrel), 107 nucleotides long. The record is from Rfam. NCBI's taxonomy places the organism in Eukaryota, Metazoa, Chordata, Mammalia, Rodentia, Sciuridae.